Molecule: ribosomal RNA, 492 nt
Filed under: uncultured bacterium
Lineage: Bacteria
Description: partial 16S ribosomal RNA
Rfam family: Bacterial small subunit ribosomal RNA
Source: RNAcentral
AGUGAACGCUGGCGGUAGGCCUAACACAUGCAAGUCGAACGGCAGCACAGUAAGAGCUUGCUCUUACGGGUGGCGAGUGGCGGACGGGUGAGGAAUACAUCGGAAUCUACUUUUUCGUGGGGGAUAACGUAGGGAAACUUACGCUAAUACCGCAUACGACCUACGGGUGAAAGCAGUGGAUCUUCGGACCUUGCGCGAUUGAAUUAGCCGAUGUCGGAUUAGCUAGUUGGCGGGGUAAAGGCCCACCAAGGCGACGAUCCGUAUAUGGACUGAGAGGAUGAUCAGCCACACUGGAACUGAGACACGGUCCAGACUCCUACGGGAGGCAGCAGUGGGGAAUAUUAGACAAUGGGCGCGAGCCUAAUCCAGCCAUACCGCGUGGGUGAAGAAGGCAUUGGGGUUGUAAAGGCAUUUUGUUGGGAAAGAAAAGCAGCAGGUUAAUACCCCGCUGUUCUGACGGUACCCAAAGAAUAAGCACCGGCUAACUUCGUG